CUUAAAGGAAUUGACGGAAGGGCACCACCAGGAGUGGAGCCUGCUGUUUAAUUUGACUCAUCACCGGGAAACUUACCAGGACCGGACAUAGUAAGGAUUGACAAAUUGAUAGCUCUUUCUUGAUUCUAUGGGUGGUGGUGCAUGGCCGUACUUAGUUGGAGGAUUGACUUGCCUGGUAAAGUCCGUUAACGAACGAAACCUUAACCUGCAAAAUAUCCCGCACUAACCCGUCCAUCAAAACCCAUGCGUGGCUCACGCGGUCCGCUGCGGGGUGGUGUCGCUUCGCGGCGAUGUCAUCCCGCCGGCAGGGCCCGGGUCCGUGUGGGCGGUAGGGUUCGGCGUCCGUGCUUCUUAGAGGGACUGCUGCGCGCCUAGCCAGCGGAAGUUUGAGGCAAUAACAGGUCUGUG
RNAcentral lists this ribosomal RNA (408 nucleotides) under Acanthamoeba sp. RNAcentral's name for it is "SSU rRNA". It matches the Rfam family "Eukaryotic small subunit ribosomal RNA", at positions 1143 to 1466 of the family's 1831-position model. Lineage: Eukaryota; Discosea; Longamoebia; Acanthamoebidae. The record is from RNAcentral.